AUCUGGCAACACCCAUUGCCAUGGUGACCAAAAUCAGGUUAGUUUUUUCGAAUAAACAAGAACAAAUCAACUUUCAUCACUUUUCCCCUUGAAAUAAUCGGGAGUGGUUUUAUACGAUUUCUAAAAAUGAGCAAUUCAUUCAGGCCCAGAAGUGGUUAUUCAAACCCUGACAGGUACAGCGCUGCGCUGCCUGUUAUGAAAAUGCGAUUGGAAAACGAAAUUAUUCGUAAACGUGAAGCAGAAACUCGUCGAAGUGAAACGGCUCGAUCGAAUGACAGGUAUUUUCAAAAUUGCAAUCUACAAAACGAGAAGUUUGACGAUUGGACGUCCCCAAGAAGUGCCCAAUUAAGCCACCGUCAAUCAAAAAUACGUGAAACAGAAAUUGAUGUGGAAACUCGUAGGAAAAAACUUAAGAAACUGUAUCAAGGAGACAGAUUAAAUGAAGAACAAGCAUUGAAAAAAAUUAAACAAGAAGAAGAAAACCAGAAGUGGGAAAAUAUGAAGGAUAAAGUGCAGCAUUUUAGGCAUUCAAAAAGUGUAAAGCUGAAUGAGUUUGUCGAGAACAGGGAGCAUGAACAGUGGAAAUCUACUAGUGCUUCAUUCAGGGCAUUUGAAUCUGAGUUGAAGAAACAGCAACAACAAGAAAUGUGGACAAUUCAACUGCAGCAGAGAGAAGAAGAGAAGCUAAGAUUACUGGAAGAAAAGAAAAGAGAAGCUGUCCAAAUGGAACGCUUGGUUCAGGAAGAAAGGAAAAGAGAAGAAAUAGAACAGAAGAUGGAAUUACAAAAGAAACAGCAAUGGAGAAAGGAUCUAGAUGAGCAAGUUGAAUUGUUGAGGUCGAAGGAUUUUGAGGCAAAUGAAAAACGACGAGAGCACGAUAAACUAAUGGCAGACGCUGCUGCAUUGGAGGCUAUCAAGGAAGAAAUGCAAAAGAAAGAAGAAGAAAGAGCAAAACGACAACAGAACGGGGAGUUCCUUACCAAGCAACAUUUAGCGAAGUUAAGGCAACGGUCUAAAGAAGUGGCCGCUGAUUUGGAAAAAGAAAUGAGCUUUGCCGAGAAACUUUUCCCAAAUGAAAGUGAUUCUGCUUUAGAAAAAGAAAAAACACGUCAAGACAUUCAACGAUUUUUACAACUCGUUGAAAACCAUCGUCGAAUCGAAAAAGAACGCCUGCAGCAGAGCGAGUUUUUAUUCCAGGAGGAGGCUAAGCGAAUGUGGGAAAAACGGGAAUUAGAGUGGGAAGCCGAAAGGUUGGCUCGAAAAAAAUUAAUUGAAGAGGUGAUAGCCAUUCAGGAGAAGCAGAUUGACCAAAAAAUAAUCGCUGCACGACAAGAAAGACAGCAACUGCUGCGCGAUCGAGAAGAGCUGGUUCAUUCACUCGAGAGCUAUCAUAAUCAAGCAAAGAAGAAAGAAAUGGAAAAUAAAGCUAAACAGUUUCAAACGAAAGUAGAUCUUCAGGCUCAAAUUGAUCACAAACAGCAAAGAGAAGAAGAGUUUAAUCAUCUGGAACGGCAGAAGCGCAAACACCAAGAGCUCAUGGAAGCUGCUCACAACGAAAAACAUUGGAAUAUAGCCAUGGACAAAUUGAGACUUUAAAGCGUAAAGUUGACGCACAUUUCUUGUCAUCAAAAUGAUUCAUAUCUCGGCUCUAAUUUUCUCGAAAUAUAUGGAGCGAUCGCAGAAUGCCAGUUUA
This 1693-nucleotide unclassified non-coding RNA is filed under the name Daphnia pulex (common water flea). RNAcentral describes it as "trichoplein keratin filament-binding protein-like, transcript variant X1". Lineage: Eukaryota; Metazoa; Arthropoda; Branchiopoda; Diplostraca; Daphniidae. The record is from RNAcentral.